UGAGGGAUAUUAGGCAAUGGGGGGAAACCCUGACCUAGCAACGCCGCGUGAAGGAUGAAGGUUUUCGGAUUGUAAACUUCUUUUGACGAGGGACGAUAAUGACGGUACCUCGAAAACAAGCCACGGCUAACUACGUGCCAGCAGCCGCGGUAAUACGUAGGUGGCGAGCGUUGUCCGGAUUUACUGGGUGUAAAGGGCGUGUAGGCGGAUAAGCAAGUCAGAUGUGAAAUGCAGAGGCUUAACCUCUGAGCUGCAUUUGAAACUGCAUAUCUUGAGUGAUGGAGAGGUAAGCGGAAUUCCCGGUG
Molecule: ribosomal RNA, 305 nt
Filed under: uncultured Acetivibrio sp.
Lineage: Bacteria; Bacillati; Bacillota; Clostridia; Acetivibrionales; Acetivibrionaceae
Description: bacterial SSU rRNA
Rfam family: Bacterial small subunit ribosomal RNA
Source: RNAcentral